This 435-nucleotide ribosomal RNA is filed under the name uncultured bacterium. Its description in RNAcentral is "partial 16S ribosomal RNA". It matches the Rfam family "Bacterial small subunit ribosomal RNA", at positions 29 to 507 of the family's 1533-position model. The record is from RNAcentral.
AGCGAACGCUGGCGGCAUGCUUAACACAUGCAAGUCGAGCGGGCACCUUCGGUUGUCAGAGGCAGACGGGUGAGUAACACGUGGGAACGUACCCAAAGGUUCGGAAUAACGCUGGGAAACUAGCGCUAAUACCGGAUACGACCGCAUGGGGAAAGGUGUACUGCCACAGGAUCGGAGCGCGUCUGAUACGCUAGAGGGUGGGGUAACGGCCUACACAGGCGCCGACGAGUAGCUGGUCUGAGAGGAAGAUCAGCCACACCGGGACUGAGACACAGCCCCGACUCCUGCAGGAGGCAGCAGUGGGGUAUAUUGGACGGCGGCCGCAUGCCUGAUCCAGCCCUGCUGCGAGAGUGAGGCAGGCCUUAGAGUAGUAAAGCUCUCUUGUCCGGGACGACAAUGACGGUACCGGAAGAAUAAGCCCCGGCUAACUACGUG